ACUCCGCUCGUGUGUGAGUAAGCUCGUAGUUGGAUUUCUGGCGGUGCUUGCCCUCUGAGAUGCCCCGGUGUCCUGCCUCCUUCUGUUAACCCUGUAAGCCUUAAAAAGUUUACUGGGGGCUCAGAUUUUUACCUUGAGAAUUUAGAAUGUUUCAGGCAGGCUAGCGCCGGAAACAUUUCAUGGAAAAUAGAAUAAGACUUUUCCUCUUCCGGGGGUGAGGGGGUCGUAAUGAUUAAUAAGGAUAGUUGGGGGCAUUAGUACUUUCUGUCAGAAGUGGAUUCUCGGAUUUGUUUAGACUAACUUAUGCCAAAGCAUUUGCCACGGAUGUUUUCAUUAUUCAAAACGAAGUUAGGGGAUCAAAGACAAUCACAUACAGUCCUAACUUAACCAUAAACUAUGCCCACUCGGGAUCGGGGGCGAGUGUUAUCCCCCUUCGGCACCGCAUGAGAAAUCAAAAUCUUUGGAUUCUGGGGGGAGUAUGGUCGCAAGGGUGGAACUUUAAAGAAUUGACGGAAGGGCACCACCAGGCGUGGAGCUUGCGGAUCCAUUUGACUCAACACGGGGAAACUUACCGAGUCCACACAUAACAAGAGAUUGACAGAAUGAUAACUCUUUCUUGACUCUAUGGGUGGUGUGGCAUGGGCGGUCUCUAACUGGCGGAGUGAGUUGUCUGGCUUAUUCCGUUGACGAACGAGACCCUAGACUACUAAAUAUUGUUAUGCAAUCAUGAUUGCUCAACUUCUUAGAAAAGAAUUUUAAGCAAAUAUAAAGAAGUUUGAAGCAAUACACGUCUGUGUAUGCCCUCUUAUAUGCUGGUGCGCACUCGUGCUACACUGACAUAUACAGCGAGCAUCUCAGCGCCGCUAAGUCGCUGGUAAUCAGCAUAUAUGUCGUGAUGGGAUAGAUCUUUGGAUUAUCGAUCCUGAACGAGAUGCCUAGUAAGAGCACUCAUCAGACUGCGUUGAUUACGUCCC
This 974-nucleotide ribosomal RNA is filed under the name uncultured eukaryote. RNAcentral describes it as "bacterial SSU rRNA". It matches the Rfam family "Eukaryotic small subunit ribosomal RNA", at positions 601 to 1653 of the family's 1831-position model. The record is from RNAcentral.